This 403-nucleotide ribosomal RNA is filed under the name uncultured bacterium. RNAcentral describes it as "partial 16S ribosomal RNA". It matches the Rfam family "Bacterial small subunit ribosomal RNA", at positions 30 to 526 of the family's 1533-position model. The record is from RNAcentral.
AUUGAACGCUGGCGGCAGGCCUAACACAUGCAAGUCGAGCGAGCGGCGGACGGGUGAGUGAUGUAUGGGGACUGCCCGAUAGAGGGGGAUAACUACUGGAAACGGUGGCUAAUACCGCAUAUUGUCGGAUAACCCACAUGGGAUUAGCUAGUAGGUAAGGUAAUGGCUUUCCUAGUCGACGAUCCCUAGCUGGUCUGAGAGGAUGAUCAGCCACACUGGGACGGAGACACGGCCCAGACUCCUACGGAGGCAGCAGUGGGGACUAUUGCACAAUGGGCGCAAGCCUGAUGCAGCCAUGCCGCGUGUAUGAAGAAGGCCCUAGGGUUGUAAAGUACUUUCAGUCGGGAGGCGUUACCGACAGAAGAAGCACCGGCUAACUCCGUGCCAGCAGCCGCGGUAAUAC